GGGGAAUAUUGGACAAUGGGCGAAAGCCUGAUCCAGCCAUGCCGCGUGUGUGAAGAAGGUCUUCGGAUUGUAAAGCACUUUAAGUUGGGAGGAAGGGUUUCUGGCUAAUAUCCAGGAAUUUUGACGUUACCGACAGAAUAAGCACCGGCUAUCUUCGUGCCAGCAGCCGCGGUAAUACGAAGGGUGCAAGCGUUAAUCGGAAUUACUGGGCGUAAAGCGCGCGUAGGUGGUUCGUUAAGUUGGAUGUGAAAGCCCCGGGCUCAACCUGGGAACUGCAUCCAAAACGGGGGGGCUGGAGUAGGGAAGGGGGGGGGGGAAUUUCCUGUUAAGGGGGGAAAGGCGUAGAUAUAGGAAGGAACACCGGUGGGGAGGGGACCAACCGGGGCAAAUAGGGACACUAGGGUGCGAAAGCGUGGGAGCAAACA
RNAcentral lists this ribosomal RNA (425 nucleotides) under uncultured Pseudomonadaceae bacterium. RNAcentral's name for it is "partial 16S ribosomal RNA". It matches the Rfam family "Bacterial small subunit ribosomal RNA", at positions 356 to 774 of the family's 1533-position model. The record is from RNAcentral. Lineage: Bacteria; Pseudomonadati; Pseudomonadota; Gammaproteobacteria; Pseudomonadales; Pseudomonadaceae.